GCAGCAGCCGCGGGAAUACGAAGGGGGCUAGCGUUGUUCGGAUUUACUGGGCGUAAAGGGCGCGUAGGCGGACUGAUAAGUCAGGGGUGAAAUCCCAAGGCUCAACCUUGGAACUGCCUUUGAUACUGUUUGUCUUGAGUUCGAGAGAGGUAAGUGGAACUGCGAGUGUAGAGGUGAAAUUCGUAGAUAUUCGCAAGAACACCAGUGGCGAAGGCGGCUUACUGGCUCGAAACUGACGCUGAGGCGCGAAAGCGUGGGGAGCAAACAGGAUUAGAUACCCCCGUAGUCCCUGUCUCUUAUAC
This 302-nucleotide ribosomal RNA is filed under the name uncultured bacterium. RNAcentral's name for it is "partial 16S ribosomal RNA". It matches the Rfam family "Bacterial small subunit ribosomal RNA", at positions 508 to 807 of the family's 1533-position model. The record is from RNAcentral.